Panicum virgatum (switchgrass) is the source of this 148-nucleotide long non-coding RNA. RefSeq lists it as uncharacterized. The transcript has 3 exons. The record is from RefSeq and is a predicted model, not a curated record. NCBI's taxonomy places the organism in Eukaryota, Viridiplantae, Streptophyta, Magnoliopsida, Poales, Poaceae.
GUUUUGGUGAUUUAACAGAGGGCUGAUGCCUCAACCGAGUGGAAAGAAUUUACUACACCAGAAGGAAGAAAGUACUAUUUCAACAAAGUGACAAAGCAAUCAAAAUGGACUAUUCCUGACGAGUUAAAGGCGGCACGUGAAUUGGCAG